Long non-coding RNA from Melanotaenia boesemani (Boeseman's rainbowfish), 87 nucleotides. RefSeq lists it as uncharacterized. The transcript is spliced from 3 exons. The record is from RefSeq and is a predicted model, not a curated record. Lineage: Eukaryota; Metazoa; Chordata; Actinopteri; Atheriniformes; Melanotaeniidae.
AGCAUUUUAUUUGUGUUGUUUACUAACUUUCUGGUCAUCAUUGCAUGUGCAUUACCUGCUGGUAGCGAUCAGGUAAAGCAAGUGUGG